CCUGGGUACUUGUGAGACAUGCCCAUUCGCAGGUCUCAUCUCAGAUCUACUAGAUUAGAAAUUCUCGGGGUGGGGUCCAGGAAUCUGUAUUUUUAACC
This 98-nucleotide microRNA precursor is filed under the name Procavia capensis (Cape rock hyrax). RNAcentral describes it as "miRNA (ENSPCAG00000019481.1)". The record is from RNAcentral. Lineage: Eukaryota; Metazoa; Chordata; Mammalia; Hyracoidea; Procaviidae.